Molecule: ribosomal RNA, 253 nt
Filed under: uncultured bacterium
Lineage: Bacteria
Description: partial 16S ribosomal RNA
Rfam family: Bacterial small subunit ribosomal RNA
Source: RNAcentral
UACGAAGGGUGCAAGCGUUACUCGGAAUUACUGGGCGUAAAGCGUGCGUAGGUGGUUCGUUAAGUCUGUCGUGAAAGCCCCGGGCUCAACCUGGGAAUGGCGAUGGAUACUGGCGGGCUAGAGUGCGGUAGAGGAGAGUGGAAUUCCCGGUGUAGCAGUGAAAUGCGUAGAGAUCGGGAGGAACAUCAGUUGCGAAGGCGGCUCUCUGGGACGGUACUGACGCUGAGACGCGAAAGCGUGGGGAGCGAACAGG